GAUGAAGAACGUAGCGAAAUGCGAUACUUGGUGUGAAUUGCAGAAUCCCGUGAACCAUCGAGUCUUUGAACGCAAGUUGCGCCUCAAGCCAUGAGGUUGAGGGCACGUCUGCCUGGGCGUCACAUAUCGUUGCCUGAUGCCAGUUUCCUCGUGAUGGGUGACUGUGCAGGGCGAAUGAUGGCUUCCCGUGAGCAUUGUUGCCGCAUGGUUGGUUGAAAAUUGAGUCCUUGGUAGGGAGCGCCGUGAUAGAUGGUGGUUGAGUGACGAACGAGACCCAAUCAUGUGAGACCCCUACCGAAUUUGGCCUUCAUGACCCACAUGCGUCUUUGGAACGCUCAUGACGAGACCUCAGGUCAGGCGGGGCUACACGCUGAGUUUAAGCAUAUCAAUAAGCGGAGGA
Molecule: unclassified non-coding RNA, 400 nt
Filed under: soil metagenome
Description: partial contains 5.8S ribosomal RNA, internal transcribed spacer 2, and large subunit ribosomal RNA
Rfam family: 5.8S ribosomal RNA (bases 1-122)
Source: RNAcentral